Molecule: ribosomal RNA, 533 nt
Filed under: Clostridioides difficile
Lineage: Bacteria; Bacillati; Bacillota; Clostridia; Peptostreptococcales; Peptostreptococcaceae
Description: bacterial SSU rRNA
Rfam family: Bacterial small subunit ribosomal RNA
Source: RNAcentral
GAUCCUGGCUCAGGAUGAACGCUGGCGGCGUGCCUAACACAUGCAAGUUGAGCGAUUUACUUCGGUAAAGAGCGGCGGACGGGUGAGUAACGCGUGGGUAACCUACCCUGUACACACGGAUAACAUACCGAAAGGUAUGCUAAUACGGGAUAAUAUAUUUGAGAGGCAUCUCUUGAAUAUCAAAGGUGAGCCAGUACAGGAUGGACCCGCGUCUGAUUAGCUAGUUGGUAAGGUAACGGCUUACCAAGGCAACGAUCAGUAGCCGACCUGAGAGGGUGAUCGGCCACAUUGGAACUGAGACACGGUCCAAACUCCUACGGGAGGCAGCAGUGGGGAAUAUUGCACAAUGGGCGAAAGCCUGAUGCAGCAACGCCGCGUGAGUGAUGAAGGCCUUCGGGUCGUAAAACUCUGUCCUCAAGGAAGAUAAUGACGGUACUUGAGGAGGAAGCCCCGGCUAACUACGUGCCAGCAGCCGCGGUAAUACGUAGGGGGCUAGCGUUAUCCGGAUUUACUGGGCGUAAAGGGUGCGUAGG